AAAGAUUAAGCCAUGCAUGUCUGAGUACAAGCCUCACUAAGGCGAAACCGCGGAUGGCUCAUUAAAUCAGUCAUGAUUUACGGGAUGUUGUAAAACCCAGUACUUGGAUAACUGUGGUAAUUCUAGAGCUAAUACAUGCAACCGAGCUCCGACCCUGACCUUACAAGGCGGGGGAAGGGCGCAGUUAUUAGAAUCACAAAAACCGGUCGGACCUCGGUCCGUAAAGCCAAUUUGUUUUGUGGUGACUCUGAAUAACCCAGCCGAGCGCUAAGGUCUCCGUACCGGCGCCGUAUCCUUCAAGUGUCUGCCUUAUCAGCUGUCGAUUGUAGGUUAUUCGCCUACAAUGGCUGUAACGGGUAACGGGGAAUCAGGGUUCGAUUCCGGAGAGGGAGCCUGAGAAACGGCUACCACAUCUAAGGAAGGCAGCAGGCACGCAAAUUACCCACUCCCGGCUCGGGGAGGUAGUGACGAAAAAUAACGAUGCGGGACUCAUCCGAGGCCUCGCAAUCGGAAUGAGUUUACUUUAAAUCCUUGGACGAGGAUCCAUUGGAGGGCAAGUCUGGUGCCAGCAGCCGCGGUAAUUCCAGCUCCAAUAGCGUAUAUUAAAUUUGCUGCGGUUAAAAAGCUCGUAGUUGAGUUUUAAGUUCGGCCCGGAAGUCCAUCCUGGACUCGUCUUGGACCCCGCCACGCGGCUUAAAACGGUUUAUAUCCUACUCCGCUGUAAAAACCGCGUCCUCCUCCUGAGAGGGAGGUAGGGCGUCGCGUUCCGCAUACGGUUCUCUAUUUGUACUCGUAUUCGCGGCUCGCGGGUUGAGGUAAUGGGGACGUUCAAACGUCGGGUGCGACGUCUAAUUGCAAUCUCUUUUUUCUGCCCCUUCUUGCCAAAUUUAGAAUCUCGCGCCGCGGCGUCGACCCCUAGGGGCGAAACAUACGUGCGCUUACCUGGCGGUCUGCAACUUCUCGCUCGCUCUUUCUCUAAAAGCUUAGUAUCGGAAUGUCAUGCCCCCUCGAUAGAUCCCCUCGCGUUUUCGCGGGGACCCAUGUGUCGUGGGCGCGUCUGUUUUGUCAGGCGUGUAUAAAAACGUGCUUCCGUGAAACGUUCGAAGGCUAGAGUUUUGCGAUAUCGGUUGCAGUCGCCGUUUAAAGGGUGAGUCGCGGGUUUCGUUUCCGUUUUAACGGGGUUCGAUCGUUCGUUGCGUGAGCUCUUCUUUAGAGUAGCUCGAAGAUCAAAGGUGGUUCUGAGUUUUGUAAAAAAUGAGUCUCAUUCGGCUGUCCCUCUAGUGCCUCUUCUCCGUCGUGUCCGUGAUGAGAGUGCUUUUAUUAGCAGUUCCACAAAAAGCGUUCGCAAUAUGGCGUAGCGGUUAUUAGAAGCGGUUUAAAAGUAGAAGAGAUUAUUCCGUCCCUCGGCGGGUAAAAAGGCGAGCCCGGGUGGUUCUCUGUCCGACGCCGAAUUAACUAAAAGCCGUCGACUUUCACGGGGUGCUCUUUACCGAGUGUCUCGCGUUGUCGACACGUUCACUUUGAAAAAAUUAGAGUGCUCAAAGCAGGCAAAAAUUCUAAAAACGCCUGAAUGGUAACGCAUGGAAUGAUGGAACAGGACCUCGGUUCUGCCCUUUUUUAUCGGUUUUUCUGAACCCGAGGUAAUGAUUAAAGGGAACUGACGGGGGCAUUAGUAUUGCGGCGCUAGAGGUGAAAUUCUUGGACCGUCGCAAGACUAACUACUGCGAAAGCAUUUGCCAAGAAUGUUUUCAUUAAUCAAGAACGAAAGUUAGAGGAUCGAAGGCGAUCAGAUACCGCCCUAGUUCUAACCAUAAACGAUGCUAACUGGCGAUCCGCUUGAGUCAUACCCACGACUGAGCGGGAAUCCCCCGGGAAACCAAAGUUUUUGAGUUCCGGGGGAAGUAUGGUUGCAAAAUCGAAACUUAAAGGAAUUGACGGAAGGGCACCACCAGGAGUGGAGCCUGCGGCUUAAUUUGACUCAACACGGGGAACCUCACCAGGCCCGGACACCGGAAGGAUUGACAGAUUGAGAGCUCUUUCUCGAUUCGGUGGUUGGUGGUGCAUGGCCGUUCUUAGUUGGUGGAGCGAUCUGUCUGGUUGAUUCCGAUAACGAACGAGACUCUACCCUACUAACUAGUCGGNGGAUCGNNUCCCNAGACGGGUUCCCCUGUCGG
RNAcentral lists this ribosomal RNA (2174 nucleotides) under Cirolana kokoru. RNAcentral describes it as "bacterial SSU rRNA". It matches the Rfam family "Eukaryotic small subunit ribosomal RNA", at positions 39 to 1395 of the family's 1831-position model. The record is from RNAcentral. Lineage: Eukaryota; Metazoa; Arthropoda; Malacostraca; Isopoda; Cirolanidae.